GAUUGCCUGUCUCUUUCAGUGGUUGUCAAAGACUAUCUUCAAGCUCUCAUGUUUGAUAUUCAAAUAUCCCAUCCUGUGGGGAAUCUUCCCAAAAUAUUGUCUAGCACAAUUAUUUGCCUAGGGUUUCCACUGUAAAAAUCAUUAGCUGUGGGUUUAUCAUGUAUAGUUGUGUAGUUUGUGCACUGCACAAAAGUACCCAGGGGAGACAUAAAUCCAACCAGUCUUCCACCUGCUAUGCCUGUGUCUUAGCAUAUGGAGGUUUCUCGAAGGGGGGAAAAAGUGUGGGGUAGAGGAGGGGAGGGUGCCUUGUUGCACCCAAAAAUGUCAUUAAUUUUCUGAACCAUCUAAUAAUAGAACUAUCUUUGCCUAGAGGGAAAGCUUGUUCUAAUUUACACAUCUUAGAAAAUGUGGUUUUCCUUCAAAUUCACACAAAAUUGCUGUAUAGGCUAACUGCAAAACUUGCUGGCUGUAACACCUCUUAGUUACCUGUAUAUAUAUUUUUCUCAGAUAAAUUGUGACCAAAACCCAAACUAUGUACUUACUGAUCUUGGAAUAAGUAGUAUCCCAGUAAGUACUCCAGAGUCUGGCACAGAGAAAACAUCAAUAAGUGCCGUACAUUCAAUGAAUUAUUCCUUUGGAAGACAAAAAUGGGGAGAAAUUUGCAUCAAAUUUAAGAUCCAGUAGUAAAAACCCUGCCACUAGAAUUCCUGGCAUAUUUAAUUUACCUGGUUGUGAUUUGAAAUAACUCACCAUUUUUUCCAAAGCAUCAUAUCAACAUGUAGUAAUGGUUAGAAUGCCUUUGAAUUCAGAAAAUAUCAACUCCAAAAUACAAUUGAUUUAAUUCUGUCUACACAAUUCGCUGGGAUAAAAUUUCCUUAUUAGUUUCUUCAUAGAGAGGACAAAUGCCUCAUUAAUUUUAAACAUAUCAAUUUGAGAAGGCUAUACGCAUCAAAUAGAAUAAUGACUGACAUUAUAAAGAACACAAUACACUGCAUACCAAAAUUAAAUUGCCCAUUCUUCACCCAGAAGAAAUGCAUACCUUUAUUUGUACUUUAUAAGCUUCACGAGGAGAAAUCCAAUGAGAUAUUUAAGCCACAGUGGGAGCUGGAGGAUAUUAUGUCAUGGAAAGACUACCAUUCCAUCACUAGCAAAAAUAUCCUGCAUACUGUGGGCUACAUAAGCAAAGAUCUCCCAUGUGAAAGUACUCCUUUACAUUUAUAAAUCGUUUCACUAAGACAUGUCUUUCUCACUCCCAGUUUGAGUCGGCACCAUCAAUCGCCAUAGAAAUAAAAAAUGUUAUUCAGUUCAGUUUCAUUUGCUGCUCCUUCACGCAGUUCUUUUAAAGAUAUCUAUUAAUUUAUUAAAUCAGUCAAAUUAACACCUUUAUUUGUUUGUUAAAAGUUUGAUAGCUUUUAGAGUGCAGAAAGGGGCUACGGGAACAUCUUCUGGACUGUGGACAAAGUUCUAUUUCUUAGCCUGUGGGGACGAUUACAAACUUGUCUCAUUGGUAUAUUUUCUACACAAAUGCCAAAGUCGUGGUUCAGAAAGCCAUCCCUCUUCUCAAAUCUUCCUGUGACUUACCUGACAUGGGAUAAAAUCUAAGUUCUUACUGUGAUCUACAAGGCCCUUAAGACAUGGUCCCUUUUAUCUUCGUGCUCACCAACCACACAAGAUACAUGAGGCAGGCUCCUGCUGAAGGGCCACCCUGCUCCCUGUGUCUUCAGCCUUGAAAGCUCUGCCCCCAGUCGUCAUCACGACUCACUCCCUCACUUUAUUUACUUAGAUAUCUGUGUAAAAGUCUGUCUUUCAGAGAUGCCCGCCCAUCACUGCUAUCAUCUUACCCUUUAUCUUUCUUUUUCCACCUGCCACAGUCUGACACAUGUUAUAUUAAUUCAUCAUAUGAUUUAAUCCACUGAAACAUAAGUGCUAAGGGCAGAGACUAUUUGUUCACAGUUGUAUCACCAUCAUUAUCACAACACUACUAUAUACUAGGAGCUCAAUUUUUUUAUAGGUAAAUAAAAUAAUAUUGCUGGACCGUUAGUCAUGUGUAUCUAAUGCACUUGAAGUUGUACAGAGGAAUCUGUCAUCAUUAAAUAUAUAUUAGUAUAGUUAAAGAGAUGAGAUAGAUAACUGACAAAAACACUGUGGCCUAUCAAAUCAUGUAUGAACCCAAUCUAAUGUUUCAGCUACAGUAAUGCAGGUGCUAUAAUUGAAGGAUCCUUUUCCCUGUUCAGUAUAUUACCAGUAAUACUUUCAAAGUGUACAUUUAUGUAGAAGGAUUUACAUACUUGCACUUGGAUAUUUUUACAACACUUUUAAACUUUUGUCCUUGUUCUUAAUUUCCAAUGCAUGUCAGAUAAUUAAAUAAAUGAGUUGCGUAACUGCUAUAUAGCAAGAAUACUUUCUCCAGAGGAAACAAGUCAUGUAUAUAAGAAUGCUUACUGUUCAGAAUCUGAACAGUACAACCUUUUUUGAAGAUCUGUCCUUGUCAUUUGCUGUGUGCCAUUGAAUAGAAAAGCAAAUGUAAAAUGAAAUUUGUGCAUCCGAGAUGGAUUCUACCCUAGGUGCAACUUUACAGUUAUUUUCCCAGCACUGGCUCCUGUGAUUGUCUAUGUCCGUUAAAGGUAUUUUAAUCCUGAGGAUAAUUACCUGUUCAUUGCAAUACUAAGGAUCCUUGAGUACAAAGGGAGAUGUUUAGCACAUUAAUAAACAGAAUUCAUGAGGGAUUUCCAUUUAUCUAGUAAAUCCAUAUUAAAGACACUUAAUUAUGUGAGUUGCAGAUUUGUUUCAAGAGGAUAAACCAAAGAAACUAAUAAUGCUAACAUACAUUUUCUCCUAUACUUUUUCAAACAAAACUUAGAGAAUCACUGUUUAUCAUACUUGAUUCAAUUCAUAUAGAAAUAUAAAUAAAAUAUCCACGGUAAAAUAGGUCACUCCUCCAAAAUUAUUGUAAAAUUUGUAUAUUUCAAUAAGGGAAUGCUUUUUUUUGGCUAUAGCCAUUACUAUUAAGAAAAAUUAUUAGGCAUCUAUUUUCUGAAAAUUAUUAGAUAUCUAAAUGUGUUGGGUGCAAGAGUAUUAAAACAUAGUUGCUGCCCUUUAAGGGAUCCAAAGCUGGGUAAAAGUCCAUCCCUGAGUCUAAAGAUAUACAGUCCAGUGCGGGAGACAGGCAUACAAAAAGAAAUAUCACAGAUAUAAGUGGAGCAAGAGUGGGGUCCUAUUACAGGAUAUCCAAGAGCCUGGGUGCUAGGAAGGGCUUUCGAAGGGGCUUGGGAUGUCUCACAAGGUGCAUAGGAGUCGUUCAAAGGAAUGAGUGGUGGGGGGGUGACGUGAAAGGCCACCUCCGAGUCCUGCAGUGAGGCCGGGGGGUGAGCAACAGUGAGACUGGAGAGGAGACAGAGUUGACGCCAGGAAGGGAGGCAUUCGGCAGGUGACUGGUAUUAUCGAUGUGUGGGUGUGUGGCGCACAGAUGUGAAGGAGCACAAGACUGAGGGCAAAGAGACUAUUUGGGAGAUGGGACUAACUGUCUGAAAGAGAUAAUAUCAGCCUGAAAAUGUCCGCGCGGUAAAGAUAAAGAAAAGAACACACAUAUGAAAAUAUGUCAGAGUCAAUCGGGAGGACUCUGGUUUUUUGGAAUGAGAAGGCCAAAGAGGAAGAGAUGCCUUGUUACAGAAAUAUUGGUGGUGCAAGGGAAAUUGAACUGAAACACACCUACAGAAUUGUUAAUAUAAAGUAUAUAAAGUACCGAAUUGAGUUGUUCAACAUAUUUGCUGCUUUCUCACUCUGAGUGAAUUAUUCAUUACCAGCUAUUGACAUCGAGUUUUGUCCUGUGACUCACAUUAACUGAUGAAAUGGGAGCAGAAGUGAUACGGUGGUUUGCCAAGAAGAAAUUUUCAGAGCAAUUGCCAAGGUUCUAUUAUGUUCUAUUUUCCCUCAAACUUGAGGUCAACAAUGUCUCAGAUCAAAGUUAUUCCUUUAGCUUGGGUCUGAAAUUGAAGACAGCUUGUGGAGUACAGCCUUGGAGUAAAGCCACAACUGACCCAGAAUGUACAUGCAGCAGGAGAGAGAAGAAUCCUUUGUUGUCUCCAGCCAGACCCAUUUCUGGGCUGUUUAUUUCUGUAACGUAACUGAGCCUCAUUAAUUCAAUGGCUAUCCUGAUAUUAGUCU
Molecule: long non-coding RNA, 4164 nt
Filed under: Sus scrofa (pig)
Lineage: Eukaryota; Metazoa; Chordata; Mammalia; Artiodactyla; Suidae
Description: lncRNA (ENSSSCG00015033568.1)
Source: RNAcentral